UGUACAACUUGGCAUAUAUCAAACUGGGUUUCCUACCUCGUUCAGUUGUGUGAGUUGUGUUCCUGUGGCGGUUUUUUUCCUCAGGGAAGGGAAAUCUGGGUGCUCAUUUUUUUGUGAUACCAAACUUCGCCUUUCUCCCUUCCGGUUGAAGUUGUACGGUUGUCCCAGUCAUUUGACCACGAUGUCAACCUUGAGCGACUCUCUGAUUGAGGUUACCAGAUUUCGCAACUCUUUUGGCUUAGAUGGCAAGCAUACAACACAGGAAGUUCAACUUUGUAGAACAAUUCUGUAUCUGCAGUUCCUUCGAUCAUGUUGUCAACCAUGUGAAUCCUUGUCAUAUUCGACGUCAGAAUCUAAUACCAUGUAUAUGCAGUUCCUUUGGUAAUAUUCUCAAGCGUGAGCAUCCACAUCACAUUCUGAUUCAGAUACUAGCACCAUCUAAGUUCAGUAGUUGCAGAGAGCAGCCGCGAGUUCUCAAGGACUAGUUUCCAGCGAUUCGAGAACGAGGACAAGUAGACUCCUUUGUUGAAGUGGAACAUAAAUGACUUCGCAGAAGGCAGUGUACAUCAUCUUGAUGAGUGGGAGAGGAAUAGAAUAACGGCCUUGGUCCAAAUCAGAGGUGACCUUUACCAAGAACAGCCUGCCGUUGAUAAGAUAAAGGUGCCCACAAGUUGAUUACUCAUUCCAGUCGCAUAGUGCUUACAAACUGGAUUCGAGUCCUGUUGUUAGCCGUCAGGAGAUCACUUCGAAUCCCUUAACUGGCGUCCUCUGCUUAUGUAGGGGUGUGCUUUACUGCAGCAGACGAUCUCGCAUUUUAGACCUUGAUGUUGGAUAGCUUUGUUGCUGUCCAUAUGAUACAGUGGGAGUCACACGUUGCGGCUUAACAUCAACCACGGGAGUACAUGAGAGCACCUCACAGGCGUGGCUUCUAAACUAUCGAGAUGACUGCGGUCUUGUAUCUCAUGCAGGCUUCAACUUAAAACCCGAUGUGAGGGACUGAGGUUUGAAGCCUGAUGUACUUCCUAGUAUCUUAAUAUUUUUUAUUUUCCAUUUUGAUAAAAUAUAAAUAUAGAAUUUUAUAAUCAAAAUAAAAAUGCAAUCUUUCUAUGUAUAUAUAUAUAUAUAUAUAUAUAUAUAUUUAUCUUUUCAAUCGUUUUAUAGAUUUACCAUGCAUUAACGAAUUCAACUUAACUGUUUAUUUCUGACUGGUUAUCAGUGGGGGGGGGAUACUAAUCAACUAUUUAAUUAAUAAAGUUUUGAAAUGGUGCGAGGUAGCAUGAGAAUAUUCUAGAUUCCUCGCAUCUACCUCUUUCCCUCACUGAGCAUUUGAGUGGCUUAGUGGUUCUUUUGAUAUUCAAAACAAUUCAAGGAUUAUUACCGCAUUCGAACAUCACUGAACUUUGUGAAGGCAUUCUAAGUUGUUAUAUGUUCAAAAGUAAACCGUGUGAACAGGUUGUACUGGACGUCUUUCUUUUGCCACAGUUAAAGGAAAGCAGAUUGCAUUGAACCUAUCAUCUCCUCAACUUCAGUUUUAACAUCAUUAAAUGUUCCAAAGUCGGGAUUCAACUUACGAGCACUUGUCCACGAGACUCCUACAUUAUCGGGCAGUCUUUUAUUGCACUCAUCAGAUUAUGCACCUGGGAGAGAUGGAAUUAUCUCAGUGGUUUAACUUCCCUACUUGGAAGCCAAUUGAAGCACAACACGUUUCGAACCUGGCUACCGGGGGAGGACAUCAUGUUUAUCCCCUAAAGAAUGGAGAUCCUUACCAAAUUCAACGAAUUGAUGUCCAGGCCUAUCAUUUGAGGGCUGUACCGGUAUUCGUUUUGUAUUACCGAAACAAACGCUUCAGUUGAAGUCGACGUAGGCCUUUCCACGUAAUCCACAGGUUACUGCAUCGUACCCUCUUUGCUAAUGAGCGAGGCCGGCAACAGUUGUUAAGGGUUUGAAUUCGUGUGAGUGGAAGAGUGGAUCGAUCUCUUGAUACCCUGAAGUAGUGCAUACCAGUGGUUGUAGAAAGGGUGGGUUUGAGUGAACCUCCUGCACCAGGUUUACAGACUAUCCGCGUCUAUUCCUCAAAUACUUCUAGGUCAUUGCCACUUCUUCAAAACGUUCUCACAACCAGUUCGAUCAGACGUGCUUGAACCUCUCGUCAUAGGCUUGCAGUGCAUAAAACCAAUUAGAGCACGCUUCUUCGCCGGCAACGCGCAUGCCAAUCCGAGCCAAGCAUCGCUCGCCUGAGCUUCCUGCGACAGUGAUAAAGAUGGACCGCUACAUGAGGAAGGACCUGAUCGAAAUGCUGGAUGCUGGUUUGAGCCUGCCUGCUGCAUUUCAGAAAUCUAACCAGCUGGUGGCGCAGUUGACAGACUAUCAAUUUUUCGAUUAUCCCCUCUUUGUCUAGCCGCAACAACCUGCAGAGGCAAUGCAGGUGCCUCCUCCUAGAGACCAUGAUGAAGCAGCUUGGGGUGUGAGAACUCUGGCUGAUCAGAGGGAUUUCGUGUUUUAUAAAUUCGGAAAGCGACUAAAGAUUUGGUCGGACACAGCUUGUGGCCCCUCCACUGAUGAUGCAGAUUCCCUUGACGUGAACUUAACCCCUCAACGAAAACGGAGGUGCAGAAGCGCUGCCCCCACAACCAACCCCAGUGCUUCCGAAUGACCGUCUCGCACCUGAGAAUGAAAUGGAAACAGGCCUCGGACCUUGCAGUGGUGAUUGAGCUUCACCUUCUUCAAUCACCACCUGAAUUCAUAUAAGUUCUCAAUCAUCGCAGCCUAAUGGGCUGCAACUUAGUCAUUACUGAGAAACAUUGUGGUUGGAUAAGUAUUCUCUGUAGCAACAGCAAACACAAAAAUAAUAAUAAUAUAUAAAAACCAAAAAAAUAAAAAAUAAAAUAAAAUGUAAAAGUAGUUUGUGGGAGUGUGUGUAUCUAUUGGAAUCGCGAUGUAAGCAACCACAACUUCUUUUGGGGUGUCGCUUUAGCAAUGCCCUAUAUGUAUAUGUUCUAUUGAAAAUGUCUGAGUACCAUUUACUAGUAUAGCUAAGUUCAGUACGGCGUAUAUGGAGGAGAAUCAGUGUGGUGAAGGACUUUUCCGUAGGGAGAACUUGCCCAGCUUGUUGAAACUUGACUUAAUUGCUUUGUAACAGUAGUAAAUUUGUAUAUGUUACGUGCA
This is a non-coding RNA of Physcomitrium patens, 3165 nucleotides long. The record is from RefSeq and is a predicted model, not a curated record. Lineage: Eukaryota; Viridiplantae; Streptophyta; Bryopsida; Funariales; Funariaceae.